UGUGUUGAGGUUAGCAUGUGAUAUGCGUGUUGAGGUUAGCGUGUGUGUUGAGGUUAGCGUGUCAUAUGCGUGUUGAGGUUAGCGUGUGUGUUGAGGUUAACGUUUCAUAAGUGUGUUGAGGUUAGCAUGUCAUAUGCGUGUUGAGGUUAGCGUGUGUGUUGAGGUUAGCGUGUCAUAUGUGUGUUGAGAUUAGCAUGUCAUGUGUGUCGAGAUUAGCGUGUCAUAUGUGUGUUGAGGUUAGCAUGUCAUAUGCGUGUUGAGGUUAGCAUGUCAUAUGCGUGUUGAGGUUAGCGUGUCAUAUGCGUGUUGAGGUUAGCGUGUCAUGUGUGUUGAGGUUAGUGUGUCAUAUGCGUGUUGAGGUUAGCGUGUCAUGCGUGUUGAGGUUAGCUUGUCAUGCGUGUUGAGGUGAGUGUGUCAUAUGUGUGUUGAGAUUAGCAUGUCAUAUGUGUGUUGAGGUUAGCGUGUCAUAUGCGUGUUGAGGUUAGCGUGUCAUGUGUGUUGAGAUUAGCGUGUCAUGUGUGUUGAGAUUAGCGUGUCAUGUGUGUUGAGAUUAGCGUGUCAUAUGUGUGUUGAUAUUAGCAUGUCAUAUGUGU
Long non-coding RNA from Sinocyclocheilus anshuiensis, 593 nucleotides. RefSeq lists it as uncharacterized. The record is from RefSeq and is a predicted model, not a curated record. The transcript has 3 exons. Lineage: Eukaryota; Metazoa; Chordata; Actinopteri; Cypriniformes; Cyprinidae.